Molecule: ribosomal RNA, 253 nt
Filed under: uncultured bacterium
Lineage: Bacteria
Description: partial 16S ribosomal RNA
Rfam family: Bacterial small subunit ribosomal RNA
Source: RNAcentral
UACGUAGGGUGCGGGCGUUGUCCGGAAUUAUUGGGCGUAAAGAGCUUGUAGGCGGUUUGUCGCGUCUGCUGUGAAAAUCCGGGGCUCAACCCCGGACUUGCAGUGGGUACGGGCAGACUAGAGUGUGGUAGGGGAGACUGGAAUUCCUGGUGUAGCGGUGAAAUGCGCAGAUAUCAGGAGGAACACCGAUGGCGAAGGCAGGUCUCUGGGCCACUACUGACGCUGAGAAGCGAAAGCAUGGGGAGCGAACAGG